GACGAACGCUGGCGGCGUGCUUAACACAUGCAAGUCGAACGGUAAGGCCCUUCGGGGUACGCGAGUGGCGAACGGGUGAGUAACACGUGGGUGAUCUACCCUGCACUUCGGGAUAAGCCUGGGAAACUGGGUCUAAUACCGGAUAGGACUCCUGGCUUCAUGGUUGGGGGUGGGAAGCUUUUGCGGUGUGGGACGGGCCCGCGGCCUAUCAGCUUGUUGGUGGGGUAAUGGCCCACCAAGGCGACGACGGGUAGCCGUGCCUGAGAGGGUGACCGGUCACACUGGGACUGAGAUACGGCCCAGACUCCUACGGGAGGCAGCAGUGGGGAAUAUUGCACAAUGGGCGCAAGCCUGAUGCAGCGACGCCGCGUGAGGGAUGACGGCCUUCGGGUUGUAAACCUCUUUCAGCUAUGACGAAGCGCAAGUGACGGUAGUAGCAGAAGAAGGACCGGCCAACUACGUGCCAGCAGCCGCAGUAA
This 479-nucleotide ribosomal RNA is filed under the name uncultured bacterium. RNAcentral describes it as "partial 16S ribosomal RNA". It matches the Rfam family "Bacterial small subunit ribosomal RNA", at positions 28 to 523 of the family's 1533-position model. The record is from RNAcentral.